UGAGAGUUCCCUCUCAUGAGCUGAGCUCCUGCUCCUUCUUGCAUGUUUUUUCUCCAAAGAUUUCUAUCCAAUGCAAUAUGCUCCCAAUUUUCCAGUGGUAUGUGGAACCUUUUUUAGGUUGGUCUUGAUGUUAUCUUGGUAGCGUUUUUUUUUUAUCGCCAGAGGCUCACUGACCUCCCUUCAUUUGAGAGUAGAGGAUCUCUUGAGGGAGAUGCUUUAGAGUUGGUGCUGCCUUAUUAUUAUGGUGGUGAUGCUGUUCAUAUUGGCCUCCUCCAGAAUGCUGAUGUUUGUCUUCCUAUCCUUCCAGCUGAUCCUCGGUAUCGUUCAUAGGAAUCUUUAGUGGUGUUGUUCCAGGACACUCAGGUGCAUGACUCUGCAACAUAAAGCAGGGUGGGGAUGAUAACAGCUCUGUAGACCAGGUGCUAGGUUUAAGUCUCAUGUACUACAAAGGUGCGACUUAGAGGGCAGGUUGGAAAAUGCUGGAGUGUUGGUCAUAUGAGCUUCUAAAGUUCCACUGAGUCCUCUAUGCAAGGACAAAUGAACACUUUGCUUCUGUUACAGUGCACCUUUUGUUCUAUAACAUCUUAUGAAUUAUGUUUCUUAACUAGUGAAAGAUGGUGAACAUAUGCAAAAACCAUGUGUCUUAAUUUUUGAUGUUUUUUUUGUUUUGUUUUGCAUGAGAGCAACAAUCUAGUAACAUAGCAUAAAAAGUAAGAAAAACUGUGUUUGGUAGAUUUGGUAUUUCUUUGUUGUAACAAUGCUUCCUGGCAAUAAAUGUUAUACUGAUUGAAAUCCUGUUAAUUUCUCUUUUAAAUGGACACAUUUGUAAGGAACAUGCCUUUGUGGGAUGAGCAGCAGAGUUGUGUUGUGUUGUGUUGUGUUGUUGAGUUUUUCCCACAAAAAAAAUAUCAAAUAUCAAAUCAAAUUUUUCUGAUGUUACUAUUGACACUUGUUUUAAAGAUAUGGUUCUCCCAGUUGAGCAUGGGCAUUGCUGUAGUCUUCAGUAGGUGCCUGAGCUUCAAAAAUCCGCAUGGCACGUUGGACUGAUCUGGAUCCAGCCCAUGCGAUUGGGAACUUCAAGCUGGUGUUCCCCAAAACUAAGUUGCUGUAUUAUUUGGAGUGAGCCCUAUCUUCAAAGUAUCCACUAUCUCCAAACUGAAGGCCAAGUUUCAUAUAACGGGGGAUGUCAGAGACCCAAGUUCCAAGAAGACGACACCCCAAGAAGAUCCUCAAACACCAAAUAAGGCAAUGGCAGAAUAAAGCCCUGUCCGGACGGGGUUAGUUACUUAGG
This 1291-nucleotide long non-coding RNA is filed under the name Astyanax mexicanus (Mexican tetra). RNAcentral describes it as "lncRNA (ENSAMXG00005002880.1)". Lineage: Eukaryota; Metazoa; Chordata; Actinopteri; Characiformes; Acestrorhamphidae. The record is from RNAcentral.